This 233-nucleotide ribosomal RNA is filed under the name uncultured bacterium. RNAcentral's name for it is "partial 16S ribosomal RNA". It matches the Rfam family "Bacterial small subunit ribosomal RNA", at positions 794 to 1025 of the family's 1533-position model. The record is from RNAcentral.
UCCUGGCUGUAAACGAUGGUCACUAGGUGUUGGAGGUAUUGACCCCCCCAGUGCCGCAGUUAACGCAAUAAGUGACCCGCCUGGGGAGUACGGCCGCAAGGUUGAAACUCAAAGGAAUUGACGGGGGCCCGCACAAGCGGUGGAGCAUGUGGUUUAAUCGGAUGCAACGCCGAGAACCUUACCAGGGCUUGACAUCCUUGGACCGCCGUAGAAAUACGGUUUUCCAACUUCGG